Molecule: non-coding RNA, 5003 nt
Organism: Misgurnus anguillicaudatus (oriental weatherfish)
Lineage: Eukaryota; Metazoa; Chordata; Actinopteri; Cypriniformes; Cobitidae
Source: RefSeq, a predicted model, not a curated record
UAUGUCAGAGCAUGAGAAGGAACAGUUUGAUGAGUGGAACAAAAUAGUCACCGGUGAGGUGUUUGACUUAAAAAAAAAAAGAGAAUUAGCAUUGUAUGGCAAGAGUGAUGUUGUUUUGUUCAGAGAGGCUUUCAUAAAGUGUUAUGAAUUCAUACACUGCACAGACCUUGAUCCAUUCAAAUACACCACGCUAGCUGCUUGUUGUAUGUCUGUGUACAAAACACACUACCUGCCAAAAGAUACACUAGCCCUGACACAAAACAAUGCUUAUGCUUAUCACUUGAACGGAUGUCAACCGUGCUGUGAUAUGAAUAAAGUUUAACAUUUUUGUUUCCAUUUCUAAAACAGACGUGGGGUCCAGAUGUUGCUCUGAUGACUGUGUGUGUGACUUGAGACGUUUUAGCUGUCUCCUUCCUUAGAAACGCUCUCUUUUUUACCUUUGUCUCACGUGCUGCAAUCGCAUUUGUUCCCAUGCUUCCUUGCGUGUGUUAGUUUCGGCCAUUAGUUGUUGAUUGUUGUCGGGCGUUGCCAACGGCAUGAAAAGUAUGUAAACAACAGUAACAGCUCAGUCUUCAGGUGAAGCAGUUAUCAACAGGAGUCUACAGAAACGUGUAUGUGUGUUUGUUUUAAGACUUGCGAUGUUUAGCGCAGUGUCGUUGCUAAGAAACGCUCUCUUGUUUACCUUUGUCUCACGUGUUGCAAUCGCGUUUGUUCCAAUGCAUCCUCACGUGUGUUAGUUUUGACCAUUAAAUGUUGAUUGUUGUCGGGCGUGGCCUGCUGAUUUUCAGUCCACAGUUCAAGCACUUAUUUAAGCAGUCAGUCCACCACGGCAGCGGUCGCAGGAGCCCUCGUUGUGUGAAGACCGAGCAGUGUAAAAACCAUCAACUCUACAUGUGCGACUCCACCGAGCAGGGACACCGAUUGGGCACUUUUUGUGCUAACUUUUUGUAUUUAUCUAUCUACCUUUUUUCCUCUCUUGCACAUUUCCUAUUCUUAUAAUGUCACUACAAUUUGUAAAUCAGUUGUAUCACGUCACCGCGGGAGAAAUGAUAAUAACCUUCGCAUUCUCCCUCCAUCCACUACCACCUUACUGACUUUUCCCACUGGCUCAUGGAACUGCCAAUCUGCUGUAAACAACGCAGAUUUCAUUACUGCUACUGCUUCACAUUCUGGUCUCUCUGUUCUAACACUUACUGAGACAUGGAUUAAACCAAAGGACACUACCACUCCAGCUGCCCUCUCCAACAACUACACUUUCUCCCACAGUCCUCGCACAACAGGAAGGGGUGGAGGGACUGGUCUGCUUAUUCCAAAGGACUCAAAAUUCCAACAGCAAACACCCGCAACCCUCUUUCGAGUCGCAUGUUGUUACAAUCACCCACCCUACUAAAAUCCAUUUUCUAGUUAUCUACGCCUCCCAGGUCAAAUAAUACACUUCUUGGAUGAGUUGGAUGUACUUCUGUCUUUAUUCCCAGAGGAUGGUACUCCUUUAGUAGUACUUGGUAACCUUCAACAUCCACCUUGAGAAAUCACAGGCAGCUGACUUUAACACCCCGACUGCGUUGUUUGACCUCAAGCGAGUCCCAACUUCACCAACCCACAGGUUUGGUAAUCUUUUAGAUCUUUUCUACACACACUGAUGUUCCACUUAUCACACCCAGGUCACCCCACUACACACAUCUGAUCACUUCCUCCUCACUCUUGAGCUCGACCUAACUCCCCCAGUCACUGCAACCUGCGCACGCUCCCUCCCUCUUGCUUAUCCUCUGUGGUCGCUUCCACGCUCCUCCCUCCCAACCAACUCUCUCUGUUAGAUACUGACAACGCCACCAACACACUAUGUUCCACUCUUACAUCCUGCUUGGACAGAUUAUUUCCUAUGACAUCUGGACUGGUCUGGGCCACACCACCUGUCCCUUGGCUAUCUGAGGUUCUGGAUCUAUCUGCCGCUUUUGACAUGGUCAAUCACCACAUCUUCCUGUCGACCCUCAUGACUAUGGGUGUCUCUCACACAGCGCUUCUAUGGCUCAAGUCAUACCUCCUGAGGCAGGUCAUUUCGAACCCCAAUGUCUCCGAACCCCAACGUCUCGAUACCGGGUGCCUCAGCUCUGUGCUUGGACCACUGCUCUUUUUGAUAUACUGUACAUGAUAUCCCUGGGCUUUGUCAUAUAAAAACAUGGCUUUUCCUACCACUGCUAUGGGGAUGACACUCAACUCCACUUGUCGCUCCACCCUGAUGAUUUCACGGUUUUUGUUCGCAUCUCAGCAUGCCUGAGGGACAUCACAAGGUUAAGCUUAGCUUCACGGAGCAUGUUGCCAGCACCGCUCACUCUUGUAGAUUUAUCCUCUACAAUAUUAGGAAAAUUAGACAUUUCCUAAAUGAGCACGCUACGCACUACGCAGGUCCUAGUCCAAGUUGUCCUGUCCAGACUGUACUACUGCAAUGUGCUACUGGCUGGACUUCCGGCCUGCACAACCAAACCCCUACAGAUGAUUCAGAACGCAGGGGCAAGAGUGGUCUUCAACGAGCCAAAUAGGGUGCAGGUCACUCCUCUUUUUGUCAAGUUGCACUGGUUUCCUAUAGCAGCUAGCAUCAAAUUUAAAGCUCUGCUCCUUGCCUUUAAAACCACCACUGGGUCAGCACCCCCUUACCUUUACUUGCUUAUACAGCUUUAUGUACCCUCUCAAUACCCUGCGCUCUGCCCCCGAGUGACGGCUUUUGGUGCCACCCCAAAAAGGGGAAAAACAUUAGCAUGUACCUUCUCAGGAGCUGUUCCACAACUGUGAAAUCAUAUGCCGGUUGCGACACAAUCUGCUGACUCUGUAGUUGUCUUUAAGAAUCUGCUAAAAACACAUCUCUUCCGCCAUUACCUCACUUUCUAAUAUAGGACUUACAAUCUUUCUAUACUUCUUUGUUUUCUUUAUCUGUACAUUUCUUUUAAAAAAAAUUAAACAACCCUUGGCUAUGUAUACUGUGUUGGACUUAAUGAGACUAUUUCCAGUGCACUUAUGUAUUGCCGUUCUUGUGUUGCUAUAUUUGCUUCUAUUGUUUACCUCAUUUUGUAAGUCGCUUUGGACAAAAGUGUCUGGUAAAUGUAAGUAACCCCACAACAUGCGUGUUUAUACUGUGUGCUGUGAAUUACAAAGGCUAGAAUCUUUCUCUCAAGUGUUGUUUUAGGUGUUCUGAACAACCCCGACUUCGGUGGUGUUGCAAGAGAAAUUCUUCAUUUAAAUACUACAUCGGGUGAGUUUUAACAUUUUCUUUAUAGGUUUUAAAGAGUCACUAAUUUGAGCACAAAAAAGUUCAUAUUUAUUGUUGUUGUCUACCACAAUACUGUUGUUUGAAUUAAAGUUAAAAAAAAACAUAAUUUUUCUCAUGUUAUAGAUAUUUGCAACAUUUUGUCAGGUUCAGAAACACAAACACAGAUCCAAAUGCAGAUAUGACUUUUUAUUUAGCACAAUAAGGAGAGAGAGAGGAGUGCUGAAAGAGAUCCACUGCUUGGUGACAGGGUGAGAGUUCCACUGGUAGAUACUAGGAUGUGAGUUCCGCUGCUUGGUGACAGGGUAAGAGUUCUGCUGGGCAAAUCCCGCUGCUUCGAGUCUAGACGAGAUGUCCGCUGUACAUAGACGGGGAAGUUUCCGCUGCCCAAGACAGAGUGAAUAUUCUGUGAUGCGAUGACAAGAUGUGACCUCCACUGAAUGUAGACUGAGAGAGGCUCCACUGUACGUAGACAUGGUGAUGAUUCCGCUGUACGAUGACAGGGUGAUGUUUCCGCUGUACGAUGACAGGGUGAUGUUUCCGCUGUACGAUGACAGGGAUGAUGAUUCUGCUGUACGAAGACAGGGUGCGAUGAUGACAGCAAAGCAGGCUGUAGAGUUUCUGUAACAUGCCGCGGAUGGUCAGCAUACAGUGCUGGACAGCGACAGUACUGAAGAGGCGGAGAGAAUGUCAGAAGCAGCGAGAGCCCAUGGUGAAGUAAUCCUGAGGGCAGAGAAAACACACAGAGCACACCAGGCAGCACAGAACGACACAGCAGAGCGCACAGAUGACAAAAUAAACUACGAAAACUAGAACUAGAUAAAAGGAAAAAAAAACUGGACAAGACUGGGACGGCGAAGCACAUAACAUAACGAACUCGCAGGGAAACAGAGGGAGGAAGAGAACUAAAUAGCAAACCGUGGGAGAGAAAAUUGACAACAGGUGUGGGGCGCAGGUGAAAGGAAGCGGGAGGAGGAGCACCUGAAUGCUUCAUUUUGUAACCAAAUUACAUUUUCCCAUGUUGUGUUACCAUGGCCGCAGCUACAGGAUCACGGAAGUUCGGACCUCUGUAAUUAAUGCCCUGGUGAACAUCUGGCAACUGUGCCAGAAUUCCAAGCGAAGCUGAAAACAUCUGCUGCAAAGAAAUAAUAAAGGUUGUAAGGCAAAUCAACCAGGUUCCAGAGCCUCCUGCAUGUAUGACACACCAUCCGGAUUUUGUACCCAGCUGUUUCAAUCCCUACACCAUGCAGAACAUCCACAACAUUUAUAGGGCUGAUAAUGGGCCUUUAAGGCGUAGAACAGAAGAGGAGUAUGUUUUUUGAUAUACACUAAAAUGGUUUAACUAAAACACAGCAAAAGAGUGUAAAGUAAAUAUUGUGAUUAAAAAACACAAUUAAAUAUUUACACUUGCAUUGUUUUUUUCAACAGAGGUUAUCGGUUUCUUGCUUAUCGCAGCUUUGUCAGCUGGUGUUGGGGAUACUUAGGGCGGCAUGUCAGGGUUGUUAUCCCGUCCUAUGUUGUACUCCGGAGUUUCCAGAUUUGGCUGGCCACUAUGUUGGCUUCCGACCACCUCUUGACAGAAGCGUGAGACAUGGUGGGCAAUCACUUCGUCCUAUGAGGGUCUGUCAUAUUGUGACACCAGGUUCGUGGGAACUGGUAUUUCUUUAGUUGAGUAACAAAUGGUACUGGGUCCUCAAACACAUCAUUAAAAAAGAGCAUGAUAAGAUCAUCUACAUAAUCUAAA